RNAcentral lists this ribosomal RNA (649 nucleotides) under Enterococcus faecium. RNAcentral describes it as "partial 23S ribosomal RNA". It matches the Rfam family "Bacterial large subunit ribosomal RNA", at positions 1186 to 1842 of the family's 2925-position model. The record is from RNAcentral. Lineage: Bacteria; Bacillati; Bacillota; Bacilli; Lactobacillales; Enterococcaceae.
ACAUAUUACCGAAGCUGUGGAGUACACCUUUAGGUGUAUUGGUAGGAGAGCGUUCUAAGGGCGUUGAAGGCAGAUCGUGAGGACUGCUGGAGCGCUUAGAAGUGAGAAUGCCGGUAUGAGUAGCGAAAGACAGGUGAGAAUCCUGUCCACCGAAUGACUAAGGUUUCCUGGGGAAGGCUCGUCCGCCCAGGGUUAGUCGGGACCUAAGCCGAGGCCGACAGGCGUAGGCGAUGGAUAACAGGUUGAUAUUCCUGUACCCGUUGUUUUUGUUUGAGCAAUGGAGGGACGCAGGAGGCUAAGGAAUGCAGACGAUCGGAAAUGUCUGUCCAAGCAGUAAGUCUGAAGAGGAGUCAAAUGCUUCUUUUCUUAAGGACAAGCUGUGAUGGGGAGGGAAAUAAUAGUACCGAAGUUCCUGAUGUCACACUGCCGAGAAAAGCUUCUAGUGAGAAAACAGCGGCCCGUACCGCAAACCGACACAGGUAGUCGAGGAGAGAAUCCUAAGGUGAGCGAGAGAACUCUCGUUAAGGAACUCGGCAAAAUGACCCCGUAACUUCGGGAGAAGGGGUGCUGAUCAUACGAUCAGCCGCAGUGAAUAGGCCCAAGCGACUGUUUAUCAAAAACACAGGUCUCUGCAAAAUCGUAAGAUGAA